GAUGAACGCUGGCGGCGUGCCUAAUACAUGCAAGUCGAGCGAACGGACGAGAAGCUUGCUUUUCUUUUGUUAGCGGCGGACGGGUGAGUAACACGUGGAUAACCUACCUAUACGACUGGGGUAACUUCGGGAAACCGGAGCUACUACCUUAUAAUAUUUUCAACCGCAUGGUUCAAAAGCGAUAUACGGUCUUUCUGUCACUUAUAGACGUAUCCCUGUUGCAUUAGCUAGUUGGCAGGGUAAAGGCUUACCAAGGCGACGAUGCGUAGCUGGCCUGAGAGGAUGAUCAGCCACACUGGAACUGAGACACGGUCCAGACUCCUACGGGAGGCAGCAGUGGGGAAUAUUGGACAAUGGGCGCAAGCCUGAUCCAGCCAUGCCGCGUGGGUGAAGAAGGCCUUCGGGUUGUAAAGCCCUUUUGUUGGGAAAGAAAAGCAGCAGGUUAAUACCCCGCUGUUCUGACGGUACCCAAAGAAUAAGCACCGGCUAACUUCGUG
Molecule: ribosomal RNA, 497 nt
Filed under: uncultured bacterium
Lineage: Bacteria
Description: partial 16S ribosomal RNA
Rfam family: Bacterial small subunit ribosomal RNA
Source: RNAcentral